Molecule: ribosomal RNA, 566 nt
Filed under: Didymella macrostoma
Lineage: Eukaryota; Fungi; Ascomycota; Dothideomycetes; Pleosporales; Didymellaceae
Description: eukaryotic LSU rRNA
Rfam family: Eukaryotic large subunit ribosomal RNA
Source: RNAcentral
GCAUAUCAAUAAGCGGAGGAAAAGAAACCAACAGGGAUUGCCCUAGUAACGGCGAGUGAAGCGGCAACAGCUCAAAUUUGAAAUCUGGCGUCUUUGGCGUCCGAGUUGUAAUUUGCAGAGGGCGCUUUGGCAUUGGCAGCGGUCCAAGUUCCUUGGAACAGGACGUCACAGAGGGUGAGAAUCCCGUACGUGGUCGCUAGCCUUUACCGUGUAAAGCCCCUUCGACGAGUCGAGUUGUUUGGGAAUGCAGCUCUAAAUGGGAGGUAAAUUUCUUCUAAAGCUAAAUACUGGCCAGAGACCGAUAGCGCACAAGUAGAGUGAUCGAAAGAUGAAAAGCACUUUGGAAAGAGAGUUAAAAAGCACGUGAAAUUGUUGAAAGGGAAGCGCUUGCAGCCAGACUUGCCUGUAGUUGCUCAUCUAGGUUUCUACCUAGUGCACUCUUCUAUAGGCAGGCCAGCAUCAGUUUGGGCGGUUGGAUAAAGGUCUCUGUCAUGUACCUCUCUUCGGGGAGAACUUAUAGGGGAGACGACAUGCAACCAGCCUGGACUGAGGUCCGCGCAUCUGCU